Molecule: ribosomal RNA, 492 nt
Filed under: uncultured bacterium
Lineage: Bacteria
Description: partial 16S ribosomal RNA
Rfam family: Bacterial small subunit ribosomal RNA
Source: RNAcentral
AGUGAACGCUGGCGGUAGGCCUAACACAUGCAAGUCGAACGGCAGCACAGUAAUAUCUUGCUCUUACGGGUGGCGAGUGGCGGACGUGUGACGAAUACAUCGUAAUCUACUUUUUCGGGUGGGUUAACGUAGGGAAACUUACUCUAAUAUAGCAUACCAUCUUCGGUUGAAAGCAGUGGAUAUUCUGAGCGUGCGCGGAUGAAUUAGCCGAUGUUGGAUUAGCUGGUUGGGGGGGUAAAGGCCCACCAAGGCGACGAUCCGUAGCUGGUCUGAGAGGAUGAUCAGCCACACUGGAACUGAGACACGGUCCAGACUCCUACGGGAGGCAGCAGUGGGGAAUAUUGGACAAUGGGCGCAAGCCUGAUCCAGCCAUACCGCGUGGGUGAAGAAGGCCUUCGGGUUGUAAAGCCCUUUUGUUGGGAAAGAAAAGCAGCAGGUUAAUACCCCGCUGUUCUGACGGUACCCAAAGAAUAAGCACCGGCUAACUUCGUG